Molecule: long non-coding RNA, 3028 nt
Organism: Homo sapiens (human)
Lineage: Eukaryota; Metazoa; Chordata; Mammalia; Primates; Hominidae
Source: Ensembl
GUCCCAAAGAGGGGCAGUCGCUUGCCCAAGGCCAUGUGGCUGUUAGUGUUGGAGUCAGAAUUUGAAGCCAGGGAGGCUGAUCUUGGAACACCUGCUGUCAACAGAAACUUCUGACAAAAUACAGAGGACUGCCAUGCCUUCCGGGGUGUUCUCCCAGAGAUGCCCCUUCUGCUAUCCUGCCUGUGCUGCUGCCCUGAUCAUUACUGCAAAUGGCUGGAUUCAUCUUUGUCAAGUUUGCACUUUCACCAAAGUUUGAAUUAACGUCGACAUUAAUUUGCUGAUGAAGCGCCUGCAGUAGGUCAUAUAGCGUGAGCACCUGUGAUUUCCAAGGAAAUUAUUGUAAUGUGCUAAAUGGGAGAUUUAAAGAUAAUGCAUCAUUGACAGCCGUGGAUCUGCAGCUUGUCCCCGUGACAGCCCCUGCAGCAUCAGCAGACGAGGGACCUUGAGGUGGACAAGGAAACACAGUCCUGAAGAAGCUGGUGGGCCCAGGCCUGAAAAGCAGAGGUGGCUUCUCCUCUUUAGCCUGGUGGCAGCAGGUGUGCCCUGGUAGUCACCGUGAGCCUGGGUUUUCGGCCGCUCCCAUCCCCUAGUGAGGUCCUUGUGUGCGGAGGGGAAAGCUUUAGGGAGGGUUUGGCCUCCCCAGGUGAUGGGGUGUAGGUGGUGGGGCUGGGAGUUGUCAGACCCCAGACCCUCUUGUUAGCAAUAGGCCGUGCUCUUGAAUCAGGCCUGAUGUGAAGGACCUGGUCACGGUGGGCUGGCAGGAUGGCCAAGGCAUUUUCUGUUGUUUUCUGUUGGGCUCCCACAGACCAGGGGUCAGACCAUGAGCCACACACCCCGAAGAUGCUCGGAGAUGGUGAAGGUGGCAUCGCAGAAGGCCAGGGCUGCCCUGGGGCUGAAGGAUGGCAGAGCCUCCCGCUACCCUGUUGGGAGCUGGGAAUCGGCCAUUCCUUCCCCAAUUCUGACCACGGAAAGUAGCCCUCAGCCCGAACUGAGCUGCAGAAUUCCCACAUCACCCACGGGAAGGUUAUGAUUUCCAUUUUAAUUAGAAACACUUGAUUACACUCCUCGCCCAUCCCUUCUCCUCUCCCCAGCUCAGGGCUUUAGAUAGUGUGUUCACUGAACGGGCGCCCUCGGGACCUUGCCGAGUGGGACAGUCCCCUCUCUCCCUCACCCAAUGUCUGGGGCUGCCCAACAGUGGUGAAAGGUGCUGGGAAGGCACGGCAGCCCUGGGAAGGAGCAGGAAGCAGGACAGUGGGAGAGUGCACUGUGUGGCCCUGCGAGGGUGGACUGCAGCUCCCACCCCCUCACAGCCCGCAAGUCCUGCGGGGACUGCAUGGAAACCCCCCUUAUUCUGGGGAGCACGUGCUCUGACUCCCCUGCUUUAGGGUAGGCCCAGUCUGCGCACCUUGGAAGGAAACCUGCUGAUCCCAUUUUUUCUCUUUUUCCCCAGCACCAGCUGUGAAAAGCCAGUCAAGGACACCCCGUGUGGCAGAGGCUGCUGCACACUCACCGAAACCAUUUCCGCUCUCCUGGGCUCACAGCGCAGCCACAUCUGCCCAUCCUUUGCGGUGGGUGUGGCUGCGCUCAGGGCAGCGGGUGGGAGCGGGAGAGGAGAGGGGCACACACUGAGGUCUGAGAAUAGAGAGGCACAGGAACAGGGACCUGGCACACAGGGACAGAAGAGGGGGUGAGAGCGUGGUGGCAGGACGGAGCAUGGCAGGCUCACGGGCCCAAAAGGAGGUAGCGUGGCAGGAGGGGCCUCCUCCCCACCAUCAGUGCGCUUGUGGAACGAGCCCUCCUCCAGGUCCUCGAGCUCCAUGGUCUGAGCUCUGACCUCCCGAUGAGGGUCAGGACGGUGGAGUGUGGGGAGAAAGAGCCAGCUCUGGGUGCAGACCUGGACAGCUCCGAGUGGCCCAGGCAGGCACCAGCCCUCCCUGCGGCGAAGUGGCCAUUCACCCGCAGGCACGGUGAGCAAGCUCUGAAGUCAGCUGUGCCGUGUGCUGGGCUGCAGAAGCUCUACGUCCUCUAGAGCUGCCCUAGCUUCCCAGCCACCCUGAGGCCUUUCCACCUGCCUGAGGGGGUUUCGUGGGGUCCCCUGGGUGGCAUCUGGGAAGCACUCAGCUGGCUGCACUCCUCCGGGCCCUGCCCUUCUCCAGAGAGGUCCUGGGCUUCCAGGGCCCGCGCUCCUGCAGGAGGACAAGCAAUGACCCCAAUAAUUGCUCUCCAGCCCCAGGCAGUGAUGAAUGGACCCAGAAGCCGUGCAGUGCUGGGAAUCGAUACUGUAAUAUCUUUAUACCAGCGGCAGAGGAUGAGGUGAGGAAAUGCCACAGCCUUUGAACCUCCCUGGCAGUCUGUGGAGCCACCACGCUUGGGCCUGGGACUGCCAGGAACUCGUGAACGUAGCCUGGGAGGGAGGGUGCGUGGAGAAAUGAAGCCUCCUAGAGCGCAGAGGCUGCCUGGAGGGCAGCACAGCCCCUUCACCCGUCCCUGUGUGUCUCUGAGCCUUGGUCCUCUUCAUGGAAGAUGUAACAGGCUCUACAGUAGGGCGGGCCACAGGUGCAUAUUACAGGGUGACCAGGGAGCUGAAAGUUGGGGGGUCCAAAAGUGCUGCAGCAUCAGGGGCCUCAGACAGAACGGUGAGACUCAGGCCUCUGACCGGGCCUUGUUCUGCGAGGGGUGGCAUCGUUGAUUCGCAGGAGACUCUUGUACGCUCAAGGUCACACCUCAGGUUGGCGUGGGAGCCAUUUCUCUGAGCUGUGCUUCGCUACCGAGAGGGUGAAGGUGCAGGCAGCCAUGCCCGUCUCUUGGGUGCCGUGGCGGUUGAGGAGGUUCUGACCUUGCCUCCCAGGGCACGCUGUGCAGGGGGACUGAGAGGGCCCUGGGUGGGCACCUGGACAGUGGGACUCUGCUCCAGGGGCCCGUGCGUGCCUUUGAGAGGAAAGCCAGAACACUCGCCUGCAGCGGCAAAGCAUCCCUCCCGAUGCUCUUUCAUCUUUUAGAGCACCUCUGGUGAGAAAUUGACUUCUUU